Long non-coding RNA from Eupeodes corollae, 414 nucleotides. RefSeq lists it as uncharacterized. NCBI's taxonomy places the organism in Eukaryota, Metazoa, Arthropoda, Insecta, Diptera, Syrphidae. The record is from RefSeq and is a predicted model, not a curated record. The transcript is spliced from 4 exons.
CUCAACCAAUUCUUUCUAUUUUCCGAUUAAGUUUCAUUACGUGAGGUUGUGUCCUUCCAAGUUGAAAAUAAAAUUCUUAAAUGGACUCAAACCUUAAAUCAAAUAUCAAUUGUGGUUAAAAUAAACCAAACCUUCUCUCAAAAAUUGAUUCGCAAUAUGACCACUUAAAAGUCCUCCCCCGAGAAAUGAUGAUGAUCGAAGAGGAAAUGGUGUGCGGCUGUUCCGAGAAAUUUAAGUGAAUGAUGAACCUACUUCACUUUAUGGUUGAUUUCAAUUUUCUGCAAAGGAAACGAAAAGAUAAUCAACGUAUUCGCUGAGACGAUGUGCAAGGGGAUAAGCUGAUCCUCGUGAAGAUGGAAUAACAAUUUAAUAUUUUGUUAAAAUAAAAUAAAAUGAAAAUUGUAAUGAACUAAA